This 460-nucleotide ribosomal RNA is filed under the name uncultured bacterium. RNAcentral describes it as "partial 16S ribosomal RNA". It matches the Rfam family "Bacterial small subunit ribosomal RNA", at positions 338 to 795 of the family's 1533-position model. The record is from RNAcentral.
CCUACGGGUGGCAGCAGUGAGGAAUAUUGGUCAAUGGACGCGAGUCUGAACCAGCCAUGUCGCGUGAAGGAUGACGGCCCUAUGAGUUGUAAACUUCUUUUGUACGAGAGUAAACCCCGAUACGUGUACCUGGUUGAAAGUACUUUACGAAUAAGGAUCGGCUAACUCCGUGCCAGCAGCCGCGGUAAUACGGAGGAUCCGAGCGUUAUCCGGAUUUAUUGGGUUUAAAGGGUGCGUAGACGGUUUGUUAAGUUAGUGGUGAAAUGUUGGGGCUCAACCCCGAAAGUGCCAUUAAUACUGUUGGACUAGAGAAUAGUUGCGGUAGGCGGAAUGUAUGGUGUAGCGGUGAAAUGCUUAGAGAUCAUACAGAACCCCGAUUGCGAAGGCAGCUUACCAAACUAUAUCUGACGUUGAGGCACGAAAGCGUGGGUAGCAAACAGGAUUAGAUACCCUUGUAGUC